This 748-nucleotide long non-coding RNA is filed under the name Homo sapiens (human). Its description in RNAcentral is "HSALNT0080571". Lineage: Eukaryota; Metazoa; Chordata; Mammalia; Primates; Hominidae. The record is from RNAcentral.
AAAGGAGUCGGUAACCUUGAAUUUUAGCAAACUAGAGAAGGAAGAUGUGGGUGUCCUUUCCUCACGCGUUAACAAGGAUGCUGUUAGGUUGUCUAUCUACUCUGAAUCCCUACUUAGGAGGAAAGUCACGUAUCUGGUUGUGCAAAUCAAAGAGCUUUGACAGUUUGUUUUUUGUUUGUUUUUAUUUGGGUGCAAUUUUUCUAGAAGACUAAAUAACCUGUAAAAGAUUAAAAACCAUGAUUGAGUGUGCCUAGAAAUAAAGACCACCCUUGACUGGGCUUUUUCUACCCAAGUCCAAGUGAACUGCUUUAUCCAUUUAGUCAAUACAUAUUCAGUGAUGCUGGUUAUUUACAAAGUAUUUUAUCUACAUUCUGUAUUAAUUCUCAACAGUCCUGUGAGAUCAUUGUUUAUUCUUGUUAAUACACAUAUACGCACACAGAAGAGAGAAGUGGGGAACCCCACAAGCCUUGAGAAUUUCAAGAAUUUGUGGAUUUCAGAAUGGUUGAGCAGCUCAUAGCUUUUCUAACACUGAACUUUUCUCUCUCCAAGUCCCAGUCGCUCGUCAAAAACUGUGCCAUCAGCGCAAGACCCUGUGAUUUCUGUGGUAUUCUAAUUUUAUCUGAGAUUUAUUAGAAUAUAUGAGGUGGAAAAAAAAGUUGUGCAACAGGAGAUUGGACUCUGGCAUCCCACAGCGUAUCUUCCCUGCCAACUUCCUAAUAAAGGGUGAACUCCAAAUAUUAAAAAGUUA